This 433-nucleotide ribosomal RNA is filed under the name uncultured bacterium. Its description in RNAcentral is "partial 16S ribosomal RNA". It matches the Rfam family "Bacterial small subunit ribosomal RNA", at positions 29 to 507 of the family's 1533-position model. The record is from RNAcentral.
AACGAACGCUGGCGGCAGGCCUAACACAUGCAAGUCGAGCGAGAUCUUCGGGUCUAGCGGCGGACGGGUGAGUAACGCGUGGGAAUAUGCCUCUUGGUACGGAAUAGCCUCGGGAAACUGGGAGUAAUACCGUAUGUGCCCUUUGGGGGAAAGAUUUAUCGCCAAGAGAUUAGCCCGCGUUGGAUUAGGUAGUUGGUGGGGUAAUGGCCUACCAAGCCGACGAUCCAUAGCUGGUUUGAGAGGAUGGUCAGCCACACUGGGACUGAGAAAAGGCCCCAACUCCCACGGGGAGCCAGCAGGGGGAAAUCUAGACAAUGGGGGCAACCCUGAUCUAGCCAUGCCGCGUGAGUGAUGAAGGCCUUAGGGUUGUAAAGCUCUUUCAGCUGGGAAGAUAAUGACGGUACCAGCAGAAGAAGCCCCGGCUAACUCCGUG